RNAcentral lists this transfer RNA (68 nucleotides) under Lucasium squarrosum (mottled ground gecko). RNAcentral's name for it is "tRNA-Trp". The record is from RNAcentral. Lineage: Eukaryota; Metazoa; Chordata; Lepidosauria; Squamata; Diplodactylidae.
AGAAACUUAGGUUAACAUAAACCAAGGGCCUUCAAAGCCCUAAACAGAAGCAUUUCUUCUAGUCUCUG